GAUGAAGAACGCAGCGAGAUGCGAUAAGUAGUGUGAAUUGCAGAAUUCAGUGAAUCAUCGAAUCUUUGAACGCACAUUGCGCCCCUUGGUAUUCCAUGGGGCAUGCCUGUUCGAGCGUCAUUUGUACCUUCAAGCUUUGCUUGGUGUUGGGUGUUUGUCCUGAGGGACUCGCCUUAAAGUAAUUGGCAGCCAGUGUUUGGUUUUGAAGCGCAGCACAAGUCGCGAUUCAAGGCUAUACACCAGCUUCCACAAGCCUUUUUCACUUUUGACCUCGGAUCAGGUAGGGAUACCCGCUGAACUUAAGCAUAUCAAUAAGCGGAGGA
Molecule: unclassified non-coding RNA, 323 nt
Filed under: soil metagenome
Description: partial contains 5.8S ribosomal RNA, internal transcribed spacer 2, and large subunit ribosomal RNA
Rfam family: 5.8S ribosomal RNA (bases 1-120)
Source: RNAcentral